Molecule: ribosomal RNA, 620 nt
Filed under: uncultured bacterium
Lineage: Bacteria
Description: bacterial SSU rRNA
Rfam family: Bacterial small subunit ribosomal RNA
Source: RNAcentral
UCGAUUGUUUGAUCAUGGCUCAGGACGAACGCUGGCGGCGUGCUUAACACAUGCAAGUGGAGCGACGAACCAGGCUUCGGCCUGGGGCAAAGCCGCGAACGGGUGAGUAACACGUGGGUAACCUGCCCUGAUGAUCGGGACAACCCGGGGAAACCCGGGCUAAUACCGAAUGUGCCCGCGAGCCACAAGGCUCGCGCGGAAAGGAAGCUUUGGCCUCCGCAUCGGGAUGGGCCCGCGGCCCAUUAGCUUGUUGGUGGGGUAAUGGCCUACCAAGGCAGCAAUGGGUAGCUGGUCUGAGAGGACGAUCAGCCACACUGGGACUGAGACACGGCCCAGACUCCUACGGGAGGCAGCAGUGGGGAAUCUUGCGCAAUGCGCGAAAGCGUGACGCAGCAACGCCGCGUGGGGGAAGACGGCCUUCGGGUUGUAAACCCCUUUCAGUUGGGACGAAGCUUCGUCGGUGAAUAGCCGGCUGGAGUGACGGUACCUUCAGAAGAAGCCCCGGCUAACUACGUGCCAGCAGCCGCGGUAAUACGUAGGGGGCAAGCGUUGUCCGGAAUCAUUGGGCGUAAAGAGCGUGUAGGCGGCCCGAUAAGUCCGCCGUGAAAGUCCAGGGCUCA